ACUCCUGAGAAUGCGCUGAAUCUUAGUUAAUGAAAGAAUCAUGAAGAUUUUUCACUACUCAUCGUUUACACUGAAUAUAGGAUUGUACCAACAACACGUCAGGAAAAGUCUGUUCUGCAGAGUGUCCACCACCUGCCUGCGGAGUUCUCAGAUCCCUUCAGCGGACACUGAACUCAUCCCUUUGCGUCCCAUUCUCGCACUUCCUCCUCAGCCGCGGACUCUCUCACAGGAUAUUCUCAGUUUUAGCCGCUCUCCACACCAGGCCAGCCUGAACUACAUGAGACUGUGGAGACCAAAGAGGAGCACCCGCCUCUCCGCUUUCCUCAGGGAUGGAGGCCGCCGCCCACCUGCCCCCUCGGACUGGGUCAACUCAGCUCGGCCUCCAGUCUGGCAUCCAGCUGCCACUGUCCUUCACAUCACACCAACGUGGGUGCAGCUCACCUUCACCUCCCUUCGGCGUGAAGAAGGGAGGAGCCACCUGGGUGUGGUUAAGACCGGGGAUAAGGGUGUGAUUAUCUGA
Molecule: long non-coding RNA, 520 nt
Filed under: Chinchilla lanigera (long-tailed chinchilla)
Lineage: Eukaryota; Metazoa; Chordata; Mammalia; Rodentia; Chinchillidae
Description: lncRNA (ENSCLAG00000025593.1)
Source: RNAcentral